GACGAACGCUGGCGGCGUGCCUAAUACAUGCAAGUCGAACGCUUCUUUUUCCACCGGAGCUUGCUCCACCGGAAAAAGAGGAGUGGCGAACGGGUGAGUAACACGUGGGUAACCUGCCCAUCAGAAGGGGAUAACACUUGGAAACAGGUGCUAAUACCGUAUAACAAUCGAAACCGCAUGGUUUUGAUUUGAAAGGCGCUUUCGGGUGUCGCUGAUGGAUGGACCCGCGGUGCAUUAGCUAAUUGGUGAGGUAACGGCUCACCAAGGCCACGAUGCAUAGCCGACCUGGGAGGGUGAUCGGCCACAUUGGGACUGAGACACGGCCCAAACUCCUACGGGAGGCAGCAGUAGGGAAUCUUCGGCAAUGGACGAAAGUCUGACCGAGCAACGCCGCGUGAGUGAAGAAGGUUUUCGGAUCGUAAAACUCUGUUGUUAGAGAAGAACAAGGAUGAGAGUAACUGUUCAUCCCUUGACGGUAUCUAACCAGAAAGCCACGGCUAACUACGUGCCAGCCGCCACGGUAA
Molecule: ribosomal RNA, 524 nt
Filed under: uncultured bacterium
Lineage: Bacteria
Description: partial 16S ribosomal RNA
Rfam family: Bacterial small subunit ribosomal RNA
Source: RNAcentral